Molecule: long non-coding RNA, 756 nt
Filed under: Physcomitrium patens
Lineage: Eukaryota; Viridiplantae; Streptophyta; Bryopsida; Funariales; Funariaceae
Description: long non-coding RNA (PPAT_LNC013380)
Source: RNAcentral
UUGUAUUAAUUUUCAUCCAUAAAAAUAUCAUCCAAAUAUAAGUUUUGCAAGCCUUGAUGCAAGAGCUCACUCGCUAGCUUCUCAAUACUUGGUAAAGAUCUUGCUACGACUCCACUCUGCGAUUCCAAGCUGAUAGAGGAAAGGAUGGCCAAGAGUUAUCAAAGAGACGACACUCCAUAGAUCUCGGUGCCACUGAGCAACGCAAUAUGCAGAGAAGAAAUCAGUGACGAAGUGUGAGGGUGUGAAUGGCUUCCCGAAUUCCCUCAGAAUAAAGGAAUCAAACUAGAUUGGUCAAUUUUGAUGCUUAAUAACUGCGCCUGCGGAACCACCACCGUCGUUGACCAACUUUGAGCUAGUUUUCCUAGUGGUUGAUUGUAGUAGUUGAUUGUUGAAGCCACCUGAAAUAGUUACUCUCCGCCGCCUACAACUCUUUGCCGCAUACGUAAAAACAAGAGAGUAUUGCGACACCAUCACAGUGCUCUAAUCGAAAACAAAACCAGCUGCCACCCAGGAAGACGAUGCUGAGAACAAAAAAACAUUCACGUUGGAGCUCUAACACACCGAACCGCACCUCUCCGACAGCAAUCAGAAAAAAAAACAGAGAAAAAAAACAAGAGGGGCAAGGAGAGAGUGGAAGAGAAGAGAAGGCGAGAACCAAUUGUCGCCCAAAAUUUUGCCGCAUCGCAAGCUUGCUCUUCAAUCGCAGAAAUCCAAUUCCACUUGGGAUCUAACAGGUGUUGACAAACACCUUCUCAC